UGGGGAAUAUUGCACAAUGGGCGAAAGCCUGAUGCAGCGACGCCGCGUGAGGGAUGGAGGCCUUCGGGUUGUAAACCUCUUUCGCUCAUGGUCAAGCCGCAACACUUGGUUGUGGUGAGGGUAGUGGGUAAAGAAGCGCCGGCUAACUACGUGCCAGCAGCCGCGGUAAUACGUAGGGCGCGAGCGUUGUCCGGAAUUAUUGGGCGUAAAGGGCUUGUAGGCGGUUGGUCGCGUCUGCCGUGAAAUCCUCUGGCUUAACUGGGGGCGUGCGGUGGGUACGGGCUGACUUGAGUGCGGUAGGGGAGACUGGAACUCCUGGUGUAGCGGUGGAAUGCGCAGAUAUCAGGAAGAACACCGGUGGCGAAGGCGGGUCUCUGGGCCGUUACUGACGCUGAGGAGCGAAAGCGUGGGGAGCGAACAGGAUUAGAUACCCUGGUAGUCCACGCUGUAAACGUUGGGCACUAGGUGUGGGGGCCACCCGUGGUUUCUGCGCCGUAGCUAACGCUUUAAGUGCCCCGCCUGGGGAGUACGGCCGCAAGGCUA
Molecule: ribosomal RNA, 543 nt
Filed under: uncultured bacterium
Lineage: Bacteria
Description: bacterial SSU rRNA
Rfam family: Bacterial small subunit ribosomal RNA
Source: RNAcentral